This 253-nucleotide ribosomal RNA is filed under the name uncultured bacterium. RNAcentral's name for it is "partial 16S ribosomal RNA". It matches the Rfam family "Bacterial small subunit ribosomal RNA", at positions 524 to 776 of the family's 1533-position model. The record is from RNAcentral.
UACGGGGGGGGCAAGCGCUGUUCAGAAUUACUGGGCGUAAAGGGCUCGUAGGUGGCCAACUAAGUCAGACGUGAAAUCCCUCGGCUUAACCGGGGAACUGCGUCUGAUACUGGAUGGCUUGAGUUUGGGAGAGGGACGCGGAAUUCCAGGUGUAGCGGUGAAAUGCGUAGAUAUCUGGAGGAACACCGGUGGCGAAGGCGGCAUCCUGGACCGGCAUUGACGCUGAGGCGCGAAAGCCAGGGGAGCAAACGGG